This 253-nucleotide ribosomal RNA is filed under the name uncultured bacterium. Its description in RNAcentral is "partial 16S ribosomal RNA". It matches the Rfam family "Bacterial small subunit ribosomal RNA", at positions 524 to 776 of the family's 1533-position model. The record is from RNAcentral.
UACGUAGGGGGCAAGCGUUGUCCGGAAUUAUUGGGCGUAAAGCGUCCGCAGGUGGCGAUUCAAGUCUGCGGUUAAAGACUGGGGCUUAACCCUGGAAAGGCCGUGGAAACUGAAACGCUAGAGUGCAGUAGGGGUAGAGGGAAUUCCCGGUGUAGCGGUGAAAUGCGUAGAGCUCGGGAAGAACAUCGGUGGCGAAAGCGCUCUGCUGGACUGCAACUGACACUCAGGGACGAAAGCUAGGGGAGCGAAUGGG